Molecule: unclassified non-coding RNA, 414 nt
Filed under: Hevea brasiliensis (rubber tree)
Lineage: Eukaryota; Viridiplantae; Streptophyta; Magnoliopsida; Malpighiales; Euphorbiaceae
Source: RNAcentral
AGAUUCCCGAGCAUUGACCGAGUUCUGGGGGGAAAUCAGGAGAAAUUAAGACAACAGGAAUUCAGAGAAUUUAUCGUUUUGGAAAACGAAAUCUCAGAUGAGAAUAUGACAAGAAGAAAGACAAGACUCACAGAGUACAGAAGUACUUGUCCAUCCUCCAUAGUUUUCAGAGAAAAAGACUUUUCAUUAUGCUGUAUGUGAAAUUAUGUUAGCAUUCACGAAAAUCAUAGAGAAACAUAUUACAGUAUUUUUUUUUCCUUGGGAGGGUUGGGUUCCAACAUUUUAAACACAAAUAUAUGCAAGAAAUAAAUAGAGCAUUCAAAUUAAAUGUAUAGCAUUAUCUGCACUAAACAAAUAACAAAAUGACUCACCACAACAGAGGAAAUUCCCGGAUAGAGGCCAUAGCAAAUAACU